UAGAGUUUGAUCCUGGCUCAGAUUGAACGCUGGCGGCAUGCUUUACACAUGCAAGUCGAACGGCAGCACGGGCUUCGGCCUGGUGGCGAGUGGCGAACGGGUGAGUAAUACAUCGGAACGUACCCAGAAGUGGGGGAUAACGCAGCGAAAGUUGCGCUAAUACCGCAUACGUUCUACGGAAGAAAGUGGGGGAUCUUCGGACCUCAUGCUUUUGGAGCGGCCGAUGUCUGAUUAGCUAGUUGGUGGGGUAAAGGCUCACCAAGGCGACGAUCAGUAGCUGGUCUGAGAGGACGACCAGCCACACUGGAACUGAGACACGGUCCAGACUCCUACGGGAGGCAGCAGUGGGGAAUUUUGGACAAUGGGCGCAAGCCUGAUCCAGCAAUGCCGCGUGAGUGAAGAAGGCCUUCGGGUUGUAAAGCUCUUUUGUCAGGGAAGAAACGGUUCCGGCUAAUAUCCGGGGCUAAUGACGGUACCUGAAGAAUAAGCACCGGCUAACUACGUGCCAGCAGCCGCGGUAAUACGUAGGGUGCAAGCGUUAAUCGGAAUUACUGGGCGUAAAGCGUGCGCAGGCGGUUUUGUAAGUCUGUCGUGAAAGCCCCGGGCUCAACCUGGGAAUUGCGAUGGAGACUGCAAGGCUUGAAUCUGGCAGAGGGGGGUAGAAUUCCACGUGUAGCAGUGAAAUGCGUAGAGAUGUGGAGGAACACCGAUGGCGAAGGCAGCCCCCUGGGUCAAGAUUGACGCUCAUGCACGAAAGCGUGGGGAGCAAACAGGAUUAGAUACCCUGGUAGUCCACGCCCUAAACGAUGUCUACUAGUUGUCGGGUUUUAAUUAACUUGGUAACGCAGCUAACGCGUGAAGUAGACCGCC
RNAcentral lists this ribosomal RNA (870 nucleotides) under Massilia sp. TH209. Its description in RNAcentral is "bacterial SSU rRNA". It matches the Rfam family "Bacterial small subunit ribosomal RNA", at positions 9 to 873 of the family's 1533-position model. The record is from RNAcentral. Lineage: Bacteria; Pseudomonadati; Pseudomonadota; Betaproteobacteria; Burkholderiales; Oxalobacteraceae.